RNAcentral lists this ribosomal RNA (369 nucleotides) under Triticum aestivum (bread wheat). RNAcentral's name for it is "partial small subunit ribosomal RNA". The record is from RNAcentral. Lineage: Eukaryota; Viridiplantae; Streptophyta; Magnoliopsida; Poales; Poaceae.
AUGUAUGCUAUAAAAAGUAAUGAUAACCAUGAAACUUGUCAUCAUGAUUUUAAUGUUCAAUUUUAUUAUGUCAAUCAAGUAUCUCAUGAUAGUUAUUUUGUUGAGUUUUCUCCCACUACUAUUCAUGAGAAUAAAUUUGCUUAUGUGGAGAGUAAUAAAAUUUCUAUGCUUGUAGAUCAUGAAAAGAAUUACUUAUGUGAUAUUUAUAUUGUUGAAUUCAUUCAUGAUGCUAUUGAAAAUUAUUAUGAGAGAGGAACGUAUGCUUUUACAUAUCUCAAUAAUAUCAAGUUUACUCUCUAUGUGUUGGAAGUUGUGAAGUUAUGCUUGUUUUGCCUUCCUAUGCUAGUUGAUUUUUGUUCCCAUGAAUAG